This 65-nucleotide transfer RNA is filed under the name Cephalotermes rectangularis. Its description in RNAcentral is "tRNA-Arg". The record is from RNAcentral. Lineage: Eukaryota; Metazoa; Arthropoda; Insecta; Blattodea; Termitidae.
AAGUGAGAAGCGAUUAUUGCAAUCAGUUUCGACCUGAUCCUAGAUAAAAAUUUUAUCCUCACUUU